Molecule: ribosomal RNA, 253 nt
Filed under: uncultured bacterium
Lineage: Bacteria
Also listed under: 1 other name
Description: partial 16S ribosomal RNA
Rfam family: Bacterial small subunit ribosomal RNA
Source: RNAcentral
UACGGAGGGUGCAAGCGUUAUCCGGAUUCACUGGGUUUAAAGGGUGCGUAGGUGGGUUGGUAAGUCAGUGGUGAAAUCCCCGAGCUUAACUUGGGAACUGCCAUUGAUACUAUCAGUCUUGAAUAUUGUGGAGGUUAGCGGAAUAUGUCAUGUAGCGGUGAAAUGCUUAGAUAUGACAUAGAACACCAAUUGCGAAGGCAGCUGGCUACGCAUAUAUUGACACUGAGGCACGAAAGCGUGGGGAUCAAACAGG